AUUUAUUUAAGUUUAACCUCCUUCCCCCAUGUUUCGUUCUUCCUCGCGCCCGACACCUUCCACCCACGAAACCCUUGCCGCAUCGUUCUCCCCAUCCGCCACCUUCAGCCCAUCGACCAGUCGGCUAGUCGUCAUCUUCCACCACAGCUGCACGCUAGCACUCAGCAUGUGUCGGUCCUCGCAUUCUUCGGUAGGUGACUGUCGUUGGGCUACAUGCACACCAGAUCCGACCAAUUCAACGCCGCCCGAAGCCGUCCGCAUCCGUCGUUUGCGAGUCCGUUCGAUGCUGCCACACUCGUCGCGUCGUCUGCCAAGGACUAAGGUCGAACAACCCAGUCUGCCGCCGCUGGCUGCCUCUAGUCACCGCGCUCUCCAGCCGUCUCCGUCGGUCUGUCCAAUUGCGUGCUUGAGAUGUUGUCGACACCUUCCAGACACCGUCGGUCGCCGCCACGAUUCAGUUCGGUCGUCCGAUGUCACCUACUACCAUUUAGUUGCUGUUUGGGGCGGAACUUUAUUUGGGUGAGCUCUAGAUUCAGGGCUUGGAAGUUUUAAGGUGACCCAUCAAAUUCAAGGCCAAUUUUGACAAAGAUGGUUAGAUUGUGGUAAAUUUUCCUUGGGCGAAUUCAAGUUUAUUCAAAAGCUUUAAGGGGACUAUUUUUGUAGACUGUUGUUCGUGACCAAAUUUGAGGUGAACGAUUGCUGAGGCACUAUACGAAAGACGCAACUACUUUAUUCCGUUACCGCAAUCAAAGAGUGCAGUUCGCCGCAAAGCAGGAUGCGUCCACAAAUAAUACAGGCGACAGAGAAAAUUUGGGGGUUGUAUCUCUCCUUGACUUUGUCUAUUCCAAAUUUUGCACUAUCGCAUAGCAUUUUAACUUUAAAAAUUUUAUCAUCACAUCCUCUUUAAUCGGCGC
This is a long non-coding RNA of Benincasa hispida (wax gourd), 914 nucleotides long. RefSeq lists it as uncharacterized. The record is from RefSeq and is a predicted model, not a curated record. NCBI's taxonomy places the organism in Eukaryota, Viridiplantae, Streptophyta, Magnoliopsida, Cucurbitales, Cucurbitaceae.